GCUGGGUGUGGUGGUGCACACCUGUAAUUCCAGUGACUUGGGAGGCUGAGAUAGGAGGAUUGUAUGUUAAAGCCUAGCCUCAGCAGUUAAGCUAGACCCAGUCUCAA
This 107-nucleotide small RNA is filed under the name Marmota monax (woodchuck). Lineage: Eukaryota; Metazoa; Chordata; Mammalia; Rodentia; Sciuridae. The record is from RNAcentral.